AGCUUGAUAGGCUUAUAACUUAGUAAAAUAGCCCUUUGUGUGACAUAAUUUUGGAACAGAGAACAUUUACAAAGGGAGGAUUCAUCUGAGUCUGGGUUGCUGCUAGGAAGACUUUCUGGAGGAGUGGAAAGUCAGAGUCCGCUCCCAGGAAGACUGCUGCUGACCAGAGGCGAGCCGACCACUGGGAGCUGGCAGCUCUGCUCUGUCUGCUGAAAAAGAGAACCAUCUCCAAGUUGAGGAGGCAUCCCUAAUCCCCAGAGCGACGACCAGAAGUUUCCUAGAAGCCUCAGUAUUACCUGAAGUCCGUAGUGGAUGGACACACUGCCAAAGGCUGCAGUGAUGGGGAUUGGCCAGAAGAUGGAGCCAAAUGCCCUGAAAACCUAAGUUUGACCUUACCUCAGAAACCCUGGGAAGAGUCUGCUGAGCUGGCUGUUUCUCCCACCAGCCCCGCAGAAGGUCAUGCCCAGGAUACAGAGAAAAAAAUCCCAGGCAAGAACAGUGGAGUAAGUUGCCAUUUCCUCCUCCAUGGGGAUCCUCCCGACCCAGGAAUCUAAGCCACGUCUCCUGCAUUGGCGAGUGGAUUCUUUAUCACUGGAACUACCCAGGAAGCCCUGAAGAACCAUGGAAGAAGGAGACAUGGGUUCAGUGCCUGGUCGGGGAAGAUCCCACAUGCCGUGGAACAACUGAGCCCAUGCACCACAACUACUGAGCCUGUGCUAUGGAGCCCAGGGGCUGCAGCAGCUGAGCCCGUGUGCUGCAACUACUGAAGCCUGCACCCUACAGCCAGUUCUCUGCAACAAGGGAAGCCACCACAAUGAGAAGUCCACCCACGGCAACUAGAGAGUAACCCCCACUCGCCACACCUGAGUAAAGCCUGAGGAUCAACGAAGACCCAGCACAGCCAAAAAUAAGUAAAAUUAUUUCUUUCAAACGGGUGUGGAAAUACUUUUGUGCAAGUUUUAUACACAGGGAAGGUGAUACAGUCAUUGCCAUAUGACUUUGCCCACAUCAGCAAGGACUUGCCAGAAGCUGACUGCUUUUAUGGUCCUGAUGAUUUGUCUAGGUGUGUGGUAUUAUGGGCACUGGGACUGAAAAUAUGAGCCAGGGCAUCUUUUGGGGUAGGGAGGAGAGCAGAAGGCAAGAAGGAGACUUUGGAGAAACCCAGAAUUCAGAGGAAUAUCAUUUGGUUUGCAAAUGCUUUGUUUGAGAUCCCAGAGCUCUUCCUGCUAGUCUCUACGUUAAAUCUCACUAUUGUGGGGUGGGGAUCUGAAGUCCGCCCAGCAGCCUGAAUUCAGGAUGAGGGAAAUAAGCAGAUCUAGCUGAUUCAGACUGGUUGGGAUGGCCAGAAUGAAGCUUGUUCUGGCGUUUACUUCCCCUGCUGCAUCUCUCAAGCUUGCAAACCAGAGAUGUUGGCUCCUUUAAUCAGGAAACAGGACCACAGAUGGGGACAGUGUGGG
Long non-coding RNA from Bos taurus (domestic cattle), 1457 nucleotides. Lineage: Eukaryota; Metazoa; Chordata; Mammalia; Artiodactyla; Bovidae. The record is from Ensembl.